GGAAGAGAAAUCAGUAGCUCUUUUACCAAAUGGGUGCUUGGAAAAACUAAAUCAUCAGCACACCACAUUCAUACCAUCCAUGCAUGUACCUGAAACUAAUAAAUUUAGCAAAUUAAUUCUCUUUUAGACACAUUAAUUCAACAACUAAAAACACAUUAAAAUGAUGCAUUCAGCUAGGACACAUUAAAGCUAUUAAUAACUAAGACAUAUUAAACACAAAUAAACUAAGACACAUUUAAAACCUGCACUUAAAAUGUUCAACUUAAGACACAUUAAAAUGUUGUAGCUAGACAUAUU
This 297-nucleotide long non-coding RNA is filed under the name Gossypium barbadense (sea-island cotton). RNAcentral's name for it is "long non-coding RNA (GBAR_LNC016473)". Lineage: Eukaryota; Viridiplantae; Streptophyta; Magnoliopsida; Malvales; Malvaceae. The record is from RNAcentral.